Anolis carolinensis (green anole) is the source of this 725-nucleotide long non-coding RNA. RefSeq lists it as uncharacterized. The transcript has 2 exons. Lineage: Eukaryota; Metazoa; Chordata; Lepidosauria; Squamata; Anolidae. The record is from RefSeq and is a predicted model, not a curated record.
CUUGGCCGGUAAUGGCAGUGUCCGGCUGAAGGAGCCUCUCGGGACUCUUUGCUUUGGCUUCUCCAGCCCAGAAGGCCUGCGGGAUGAGCCGGCGACCUCCGUUGCUGCCUCUAGGAAGGAGGAGGAAAGAAGGAAGGCGGCGAUAGGACAGGUUGUUCCUGCCAUGAGGAAGUUCCUAAUGAAACAAUUAUAACACAACCAGGUGAUUUAUACUCAUAUUUUGCCAAUUCCUCCAAAUGGCUUCAGUGCUAAACAUAUGACAGAAAGAAACACAAGGUCCUUAUUCUUUGCAUUCACCCAAGACAGUGGAGACGCAAUUUUGAUCCCCAGUGAAUAACGGCUUGUGAUUUCCAUUCUGUGGGGAUUUGUAAAAGGCACCAUGAUGUAAUGGGUUGACUGGAAAGACAUGUGUCAGCAGCUGAUUGGCUAAGCGUGCCAGGAGCCAACGUUCUGAUUAGCUGCUGCCUCUAGCUUGCUGCUGAGAGAAACGGUUUGAGUAGGCAUUUUACCUCAGAGAGUGAAGAGGUAACAGCUAAGGAAUUAAUGACUGCCGACUCCCUGAAGCCUGAUCAUUUAUUAAGGCAAUGGGGCAUAUUUAAAGACUAUUUUUAAAUGACUGUUUAUUACUUCUGUUCUCUAUAAGAAGCCAGAAAGACUAUUGUAUAUAUUGUUGCUCUGUUCGACCUAUUGAACUGAAGUAAAGUUACUGUUACUUAUUUCAUAGA